RNAcentral lists this non-coding RNA (24 nucleotides) under Arabidopsis thaliana (thale cress). The record is from RNAcentral. Lineage: Eukaryota; Viridiplantae; Streptophyta; Magnoliopsida; Brassicales; Brassicaceae.
AAAGGCAACGGAGGAACUGGGUUA